UAGGGAAUCUUCGGCAAUGGGGGGAACCCUGACCGAGCAACGCCGCGUGAGUGAAGAAGGUUUUCGGAUCGUAAAGCUCUGUUGUUAAGGAAGAACGAGUGUGAGAAUGGAAAGUUCAUGCUGUGACGGUACUUAACCAGAAAGGGACGGCUAACUACGUGCCAGCAGCCGCGGUAAUACGUAGGUCCCGAGCGUUGUCCGGAUUUAUUGGGCGUAAAGCGAGCGCAGGCGGUUAGAUAAGUCUGAAGUUAAAGGCAGUUGCUCAACCCUUUUAGGCUUUGGAAACUGUUUAACUUGAGUGCAGAAGGGGAGAAUGGAAUUCCAUGUGUAGCGGUGAAAUUCGUAGAUAUAUGGAGGAACACCAGUGGCGAAGGCGACUCUCUGGUCUGUAACUGACGCUGAGGCUCGAAAGCGUGGGUAGCAAACAGG
This 429-nucleotide ribosomal RNA is filed under the name Bacteroidota bacterium. RNAcentral's name for it is "Bacteroidetes bacterium partial 16S ribosomal RNA". It matches the Rfam family "Bacterial small subunit ribosomal RNA", at positions 355 to 776 of the family's 1533-position model. The record is from RNAcentral. Lineage: Bacteria; Pseudomonadati; Bacteroidota.